AUCCUCUGAAAUGAAACCACAGGUGUUGCAAUCUACUAUGUAUUCAUUACAAGGAACAAAGAAAUGAGUAUAAAAGAGGAAACACAACAUUAAAACUAAUUAAAGUAUUGCCACACGUAGAAUUUGAUAUCAUAAGCAAAUAAGGGGUUUCGAAGAUGAAAGCUAUUAUCUUCAUUCUUGUUGCAGCAACAAUCCUAUCCGCCUGCGAUGGUUGUCCUUUAUAUUUAAGGAAAAACUAGUGUCACUGUUUUUGUUCUGAUAUGUAUUCGUCUUGUCAGAAUAGAUGCCCUGGAAACGGCUUGUGGCGUAUCAUGUGUCUAAAUCAAUGUGUAAAACACUACUCGUACUGCAGUGGAAACUGUCGACGCAGACAGGGCUGAAUGCGGAUUGGUCUAAAUAUUUGCAAAGAAAAGAAUCGACAGACCAAAAAAGAUCCAAUGAUGUAAUUUUCAAUAAAUUGUCAUUAAAACGGU
Magallana angulata is the source of this 473-nucleotide long non-coding RNA. RefSeq lists it as uncharacterized. The record is from RefSeq and is a predicted model, not a curated record. The transcript has 2 exons. Lineage: Eukaryota; Metazoa; Mollusca; Bivalvia; Ostreida; Ostreidae.